Molecule: transfer RNA, 85 nt
Filed under: Felis catus (domestic cat)
Lineage: Eukaryota; Metazoa; Chordata; Mammalia; Carnivora; Felidae
Rfam family: tRNA
About the family: Transfer RNA (tRNA) molecules are approximately 80 nucleotides in length. Their secondary structure includes four short double-helical elements and three loops (D, anti-codon, and T loops). Further hydrogen bonds mediate the characteristic L-shaped molecular structure. tRNAs have two regions of fundamental functional importance: the anti-codon, which is responsible for specific mRNA codon recognition, and the 3' end, to which the tRNAs corresponding amino acid is attached (by aminoacyl-tRNA synthetases). tRNAs cope with the degeneracy of the genetic code in two manners: having more than one tRNA (with a specific anti-codon) for a particular amino acid; and 'wobble' base-pairing, i.e. permitting non-standard base-pairing at the 3rd anti-codon position.
Source: Rfam by way of RNAcentral
GCCUGGGUGGUUCAGUCGGUUAAGCAUCUGACUUCGACGCAGGUCAUGAUCUCAGGGUUCGUGGGUUCGAGCCCCACAUCGGGCU